GCCAUUGGAGGGCAAGUCUGGUGCCAGCAGCCGCGGUAAUUCCAGCUCCAAUAGCGUAUAUUAACGUUGUUGCAGUUAAAAAGCUCGUAGUUGAAGUGUGGGUGAUCGCUGUUGUGAGACUUCGGUCUCUCGACAGUAAGUCACCCCCUUCCAGUAUCCAGUAGUGGGUAUUCACUUACUUACUACUGUGUGUUGGUCGUUUACUGUGAGAAAAUUAGAGUGUUCAAAGCAGGCGUUUGCUUGAAUAGAUUAGCAUGGAAUAAUAAUUGAAGGCUUUCGUGUUCGAUUUGAUUGGUUUGUUCAUGGAAGCAAGGUUAAAAGGAACAGUUGGGGGUAUUCAUAUUCACUAGUUAGAGGUGAAAUUCUCGGAUUUAUGGAAGAUGAACAAGUGCGA
This 394-nucleotide ribosomal RNA is filed under the name Blastocystis hominis. RNAcentral's name for it is "SSU rRNA". It matches the Rfam family "Eukaryotic small subunit ribosomal RNA", at positions 544 to 948 of the family's 1831-position model. The record is from RNAcentral. Lineage: Eukaryota; Bigyra; Opalinata; Blastocystidae.